Molecule: long non-coding RNA, 294 nt
Organism: Ornithodoros turicata
Lineage: Eukaryota; Metazoa; Arthropoda; Arachnida; Ixodida; Argasidae
Exons: 2
Source: RefSeq, a predicted model, not a curated record
UGCAAGAAGAUCCAGGAGGAGGCAUCUCUUUUGCAUGGUUUCUCGUGACGCCGAGAGUAUACUGUGGAUCAGCCCUGCAGGGGCAGCAAGCUGAAGAACGAAGCCAGAACCUAUGAAGAAGUUCUGGGGAUUGUGUCGAAAACAGCACAAGUGUAAGGGAACGUUUUACUUGGUAACCAGAUAUACUUAAUAUACUUUGCAACUCUAAGAUGUUCUUUUGAUCGCUGCAGAUUCAACAGAUGUCACAGAUUUCUCACCAUUUCUCUGUAUGUACAAUAAAUGCUCGGUCCUGUA